GAAAAAGUACUGCGAGAGCUGCUAACUCACGCUCCCACACCUAACAAUGUGGCUUUUUCA
RNAcentral lists this transfer RNA (60 nucleotides) under Berardius bairdii (Baird's beaked whale). Its description in RNAcentral is "transfer RNA-Ser (AGY)". Lineage: Eukaryota; Metazoa; Chordata; Mammalia; Artiodactyla; Ziphiidae. The record is from RNAcentral.